UACAGCCAUAUCAUAUUGAAACACCGAUUCCAGUAUGAUUACCAAAGCUAAGCAAUGUUGAGUCUGGUCAGUACCUAGAUUGGUGACCACUUGGGAAUACCAGGUUUUGUAAG
Molecule: non-coding RNA, 113 nt
Organism: Acanthosepion pharaonis
Lineage: Eukaryota; Metazoa; Mollusca; Cephalopoda; Sepiida; Sepiidae
Source: the annotation of a GenBank genome assembly